Molecule: unclassified non-coding RNA, 239 nt
Filed under: uncultured fungus
Lineage: Eukaryota; Fungi
Description: sequence contains ITS2
Rfam family: 5.8S ribosomal RNA (bases 1-52)
Source: RNAcentral
AACGCACAUUGCGCCCCUUGGUAUUCCGAGGGGCAUGCCUGUUCGAGCGUCAUUAUAACCACUCAAGCCUCGGCUUGGUAUUGGGGUUCGCGGUCUCGCGGCCCUUAAAACCAGUGGCGGUGCCAUCUGGCUCUAAGCGUAGUAAUUCUCUCGCUACAGGGUCUAGGUGGUUACUUGCCAAAACCCCCCUAUUUUCUAUGGUUGACCUCGGAUCAGGUAGGGAUACCCGCUGAACUUAA